This 5854-nucleotide long non-coding RNA is filed under the name Lactuca sativa (garden lettuce). RNAcentral describes it as "long non-coding RNA (LSAT_LNC002293)". Lineage: Eukaryota; Viridiplantae; Streptophyta; Magnoliopsida; Asterales; Asteraceae. The record is from RNAcentral.
AGUCAUUACCGAAACGAUGGUAACGACAUACUUGAACAAAAACAAAAUCAAUUACUAGCUUCUUGGUGGCCUUGUGACUUUCCCUGAUCCAAGUGUAAGUCUUGUGCUUCCAGUAGUAUAGGCCUCUACUACUAUUCACACCUACUCAUACUCGUCCCAAGUAUUGUCUCGCAGUUUUCCAAGUCACCAUUCAAGAAAAUCAAAUAACCAUUUAACAUAUCAAAUAACAAAACCAAGUUUUAUAUUACUUCUUGAUACGAUUACACAACUACGCCUCUAAUAGGCUACACCACACGUUACUAUUCACAUUGCUACUUCAUAACUUGAUCUUCGGGUAUGAAGUCCUCAUCCUUGAUUCCUCGCGUUGUUAUCUACUUCGUCGAGGAUCAUGUAGAAUGCCCUUGGUUUUAGUGGUGCAUUUGGCUUUGUAGCUCCUUCCCUCUUUGGGCAGUCUUGCUUGUAGUGCCCUUCUUCAUUACAUCUGUAACACGCCCUUUUGUUGAAUGUAAAUUCAUUGGUGUAUUGCCCAUGCUUCCCACACUUGAAACAUGUAACAUCCUCGCCACAUUUCCCAACAUGUUUCUUUUUACACUUUUCACACCAUCUUGUUUCACUUCUUCCUUCUCCUCCUCCUCCAGUCUUCGAGAAUUUUAUCUUCUCGUUGGACCUUGAAGAUCCUUCAAACUUCCUCUUUUCUCCUACCUUAUCUUUUUACAGAACCUUUUCUUUUAUCUAGGUCUCUACAUUCUUUGCUGCUCUAACAACUGUUUUCAAAUUAGUUGCCAUUUUGACCAUCGGACCAAAGUCCGUUGGCAAUCCGUUAUCAAUCCGUUAGCAAAUCUAUAUAUCUUGGAAAGUUCAUUCGGCACCAAGUAUGGAAACAACUUCAUCUUUUCGGUAAACGUAGUAGCAUAGUCAUAUAUGCUCAUUUUCCCUUUCCUUAAGUUCAGAAAGUCAUUGUUUAGGUCUAUCAGAUCCAUUUCUGAGCAGUAUUGCAUUUUCAACUGCUCCAUGAAUGCUUCCCAAGACAUCCUCCUGGCUUCUCCUUAUGGCAUUGUAUCUGCCCACAACUUCCACCAACUUAAAACUCCAGUCUUUAGUUGUCUGACUGCAAAGACUGCCGUUUGCUUAUCGUUGCAGUUGCAGCUUUCAAAUACCAUCUCCGUCUCGGAGAUCCAGUCCAUAAUCUUUACUAGCUUUGGGCUUCCAGAAAGACUUGGUGGUUUGGUACCCAAGAAGUUCUUAUACAUAUGUCCAUCUCUAUCGAUUCUCCUCUCCGGGUCAUUCCCUCUUGCCACUGGGGGUUCAACUUGACUGACGGUGCGGCUGUAAUUUCCUUCCUCUGACUGUUCGUCAUUUAGUUCAAGUUGUUCAAUAGUCAUUAAAGGUUCACUCCUAUUGUUCAUCAAUAGUUGUCUCAUUUCUUCCCUUUGUUCAACCAUCAUAGCCUGAAUCAUGGCUUGUACUCCAGCCAUUGUGAUUGGUUCUGGUGCAGUUUCUACUAUAGGCGCAUGCUCAAUCACUUAGGGUUGAGGUUGCUGAUUCCUAUUCGCAUUUCCAGCUCCACUUCAGGUUCUUACCAUUAUGAUCUAAACACCAAAUUAGGCGAAUUUAGAUCUCUAUUCACAAUAGAUAUUUAAAUUCUCCUUAUCACUCCGAAACGUUUACAUGCUAAUUCUAAUAUCGUAGUCAUACGCUUAGAAUCCUGAACACAUAAGGUUUCCAGAUCCGGUCGGCAACAGACCAUAGAUCCGAAAAAUUAAUAUCAUAUAUGACAAACAUAUAAUAUUUAGCACAUAAAAGCAUUUUAGGCAUCUUUCCUAAAAUAUACUAGUGCUCGUGUCAAAAAUAUGGUAGACAAUCAUCUCACGAUUAUCAUUUAGCAUUAUAAGUUUAAGUCUAGAAAUCCUACAAAUUUCUAGUUCGUUUAAACUAAUGUUCUGAUACCAACUGUGACAUCCCCAAUUUUCUCGGCCAGAAAAUACCGAUUUCGUUUAUGCUUUUUAAAAUAUAAUCAAACAUUUAUCAAAGCAUUUCUUAAAGAAAUGUGUUUUUGUUUCAUUAUAAAACUCGAGAUGUCCUCAUUGAUACAGACCAAAAGCAUAAACAGAACGUACAUUCAUUUACACUAUUGAUUUACAUCUCCUUUAAUCUCUCAGUAUAAUGUGGCUUCGUAUCAACACUUGUGAUACAAAUAAACUAAGUGGGUCAGGCUUGGGAGCCUGGUGAGCAUAUAGGGUUUUCAACCCACAAAUAAUAAAUUUAUUAAUUUUUAUCAACCAACAAUAAAUUUAAAAAUUUCAUCACCGAGCAACAAACUUAUCAACCCACAAUAAAUAAAUUUAUUAUGUUUAAACAUCAAACAAUCAACCCAAUUCCUCACCCCCGUUAUCCUCUUUAUUCUUAAGGAUCCACCCUAAGAAAUCAGCUUUUCCUCGUUCAUUUAUUCCUAAGGAAUAGAUACGAAUUCAUCUUUGCCUAUGGCGCAGCUACCAAUGUUAUUUAUUAGGCGCAACUGCAAAUAACAUCUUUUAUUUUCUAUUGAGCACAGCUACAAAUGUUAUUUAUUAGGCGCAGCUGCAAAUAACAUCUUUUAUUUUCUAUUGGACACAGCUGCAAAUGUUAUUUAUUAGGCGCAACUACAAAUAACAUCUAUAUCAUCUUUCAUCCCUCAUUCUUUAUCUACCCAUGUUUUACCCAACAUAUUUGUAGAUAUAAAAUAUAUAUACAAUUUAAAACCUGUAUAAAACAUUCUUUCAACAUCAAUCUAAAAUAAACAAACAACAUAUAUACACAUAGCACGUAUUUUAUAUAAAAUACUUCAUAUCUAUGUGUAAGAUGAAAGUGACUAUACACUCAUAUGAUAAGACGACGAUUGGACAACACCUCGUCUCUUAAAACAAUCGUUUCUGAUAAAACCGGGAUGUUUUCCCAUAAACCGGGCAUCACGCGGGCAGAGUUUCGGCCCGAAAACUUUUUUUCUGGGAUCUUCAGGGCGUCGGGACUUGCUUCGGGUGUCGGGGAUAAUACUGGGACUUCAGGGGUUAAAAGUAGCUUAGAGAGAGUAGAGAGUGAGAGGGAAUAGAUUUUCUAAACAAAAACCCACAGGCUUUGUUUUCUAUUUAUAGUGACUGAAACACCUAUUACGUUGGGCGUAAAUUAUGAGUACGCUUGGCGUACUGCUCUAACAGCCACUACGAUGGGUGUACAACUUAGUACGUUGGGCGUACUCUGAUGAGUGGCAUUAGACAUGUCGAACUUGCGUGAUACGUUUCGAUUGCAAGGAAUAGGCGACGUGGCUAAUCUGGGACCGUGAACACGAGUACGCUGGGCGUACUCCGAAUUUCCAAACUUCAAAAAUUCGUAUCUUUUGCAUAUGAGCUCCGUUUUUGACGAUCUUUAUAUCCACGCGUAUAUGGGAUUAUGCUCUAAAACUUUCGUUUAGACUUCGUCGGCUAAUUUUGAAUUCAUUUUUAAUAAUAUAUUUUUAACAGGACGGGACAGGAAAAGUCCGUUAAAAAUUUAUAGCUUCUUCAUCCAACGCUCGUUUUCGUCUGUCUUUUUACCGUUAAACUACAAUCAACAAGAUCUUUGAUUCUCGUUUAGAUUGUUUUGGCUAAAAAUCACUCGAUCUAAAAUUCGAGUUUCGAUCGGGCUGUAUACUGCUAAGGCUAAAAAUCAUUCUAUCCACACUCUCGGUUUAACGAACUCUACGACUUUCAUUUAGAUCACUAAGGCUAAAAAUCAUUCUAUCGUAAAUUCACUAUUUACGUCACGCAGUGUCGUACCGGUUCUGUCACGAAACUUCGACAGGUCAUAACUUCUUCGUUAUAACUCGGAUUCCAGUAUUCUUUAUAUCUCUGGAAUCCUUGUUUCAACCACUACAAUUUUCUUCAUAGAUAUCGAAUUUAUCUAAUAUUUAUUUUCGACGAUUAAUUUUAUCCUUAAUCAUAAUAAUUAAGUUUAAAGCGCAUAACUCAUUCUUAUUACUUCAAAACGAGUUUCAAUGGUUGACCUAGACUAUUAUAUCAUCAUUAAUGCUUAGUCCAGAAACACGGACGUUACAAUUCUCUCCUCCUUAGAAUGAUUUCGUCCCCGGAAUCAUACAUCAGCAAACAAAUGCGGAUAGCGAUUCAUCAUGUCCCUCUCUGUUUCCCAGGAGAUAUUUGGCCCAUUUGAAUGUUUCUAUCGUACAAGCACUAAAUCGACGAUCUUGUGACGCAUCUUCUCAGUCUUACGGUCAACGAUUGCCUCUGGUUUUUCAAUUAACCUCUUGUUUUUAUCUAGCCUUAACUCAGAAAUUAGAAUUAUGUCGGGAACUUCUCCCGUGAACUUUCUCAAAUAACACACGUGGAAAGUGUUAUGAAUAUCUUCUAGUUCUUCUGGUAGUUCUAGCUUGUAAGCUUGAUUCUCAAUCUCUGAAGAACUUUAAACGGUCCAAUAAACUUUGGACUCAACUCUCCCCGAAGCAGAACCAGAUGAGUCUCCGCACCAGCGCCAUCCACCUACAUUGAAUCAACAUCCUUUUCAGCGAAAGCUUUUCCUUUCCCCGAACCACGUAACAUACUCAUCUUAGUCGGACUCGAUUCGAUAUGACCUCUAGGGUCGGAAUAACAAUCAUCUUCUUAGUCAUUACCGAAACGAUGGUAACGACAUACUUGAACAAAAAUGAAAUCAAUUACUAGCUUCUUGGUGGCCUUGUGACUUUCCCUGAUCCAAGUGUGAGUCCUGUGCUUCCAGUAGUAUAGGCCUCUACUAUUAUUCACACCUACUCAUACUCGUCCCAAGUAUUGUCUCGCAGUUUUCCAAGUCACCAUUCAAGAAAAUCAAAUAACCAUUUAACAUAUCAGAUAACAAAACCAAGUGUUAUUGUGGUAAUGAUAGCCCAGGGAGUCAUCGGAAUUACCGCUAGAGAUUUUUUACCGUGAGAUUUUGCAUUCAACUUUACGAGGUGAGUUACCUUCCUGUAGGAGUGGGUUGAAGACACUAAUGUCGACCCACUAGUAGUUGUUUUUGGUAGAGACGAUUGUCUUCGUGAUAAUUGUCUGGUAUGUCAUUGCCUGUUAUGAUUUAUGUGCUUAUUGUUAUGCUAUUAUGUGGUAGUUGUAGGGGUGAAAUAGUCCCCGUAACCGGUUGAAAUAAACCAUAGGGUAGGUCGGGCACCCAAAUAUGCCUGAUAGGGUAGGUCGAGCACCUAGAUAUGCUUGAUAGGGUAGGUCGGGCAACCAGAUAUGCCUGACAGGGUAGGUCGGACAUCCAGAUAUGCCUGACAAUAUGUGUUUAUGUGGUAUGAUGGGGGAAAUUAGUAAGCUUUGUACUUACGGUUUUCAGUUUUGGUUUCAGGUACCUCUUCUUCAAAGGGAAAGAAGCCGACAUGAUUGCAGCGCAUCACACCAUUAUUCCGCACAUGAGAUUCUUGGGAGACUCUGACGAUGCUUUAUUGUGACAUGUUUUGAUUAUUAACAUUUGGUUUGUUAUGAGAUGACACGAUGAAUGCUUUUAACACUAAUGGUUUCUUUAAUACUUGCUUAAAAAUAAAAUUUUUGGUCUCAAUUUUGAGGAUGUUACAAAGUUGCGAAAAACAACCUUUUUAUUCUUAUACAAAAGAUGAAGUAAAGAACUUGUGUGGUUUGCCGUUUGGUUCUUAGAAAAAUCACGAGAUAUCAAGAUUGUUCCUUCCAUAAAAUCUUCAAAUAGAAUUACAAAAUGUUAUGUCAAAAUUUUGAAAUUUCAUCUUAAUUGAGUGUUGAAACCAUUUUUUUAUUCCACAAUUUAUAAAAGUUCGAAAUUGAUUGUCAAUUUAUGCUACUACUAAAGAUAUGGAAAAUUUCUAAUAUAAGUAAGACAUGUAAAA